Anas platyrhynchos (mallard) is the source of this 2460-nucleotide non-coding RNA. The record is from RefSeq and is a predicted model, not a curated record. Lineage: Eukaryota; Metazoa; Chordata; Aves; Anseriformes; Anatidae.
GUACCUGCGGGGACAUGGGGGGGGGGGAGACCCCCGUGGCAUGGGGUCGGGGGUGCCCCACUGUGUGGUUUUGGGGAGCAGGGCGCCCCUCCUGUAACACCGUUCUGGCUGGAGGCAGCACCGAGUGAGCAACCCCCCCGGUCAGCCCCCAAUUUCCCCUCCCCUGUGCGCCCCCCACUCCUCUCCCUGCGGCCGUGACCAAGUGGCUGUGUCCGGGGAGCUCCCUGCUCAGCAGCAAUAAUGGGAUAUUGUUCACAUCCCGUUAUUAACAUCCCGUUAUGGUUAAUAUCCCGUUAAUAGAUGGCAGAGCUGCAGCAAAGCUGAGCCCCAGCCGGAGGGCUCGUGCCAAAGCCACCACUGGGUGCAAAUCCCGAGGCUGCUGCAUGAACGGGGUGAGGGCGCUGUGAUUUGUGGGUGCCUGUUUGGUGGGGAAAACACAGAAUUGGUCUUCUCACCCCAAAAAAGCUGCUUUGUUGGAGCGCAAAAACUCCCGGAUGCCUAACCACCACCAGCAGGGAAGCUUGGCUCACAAACACUCAAAGUUUUCUCAGCUUUCUGGCUAAAUCUGCCCUGUUUUCACCUUCCCCACUUCAGUCCCUUCUCGCCCUCCAGCCAGAGCCAGGGGAACCCACCCCGAAGGCUCCGAGCCCCUCCUGGGGCUACUGCUCUGGGCCCUGCUCCAUCCCCACAGGGCCCGAGGCUGCUUUUACGGCACGACGUAUCUAUGGAAACUCAUUUUUUCUAAAACAAGCCCCCUGCCACGUCCUGCCCCUGUCCAUUUCAGCAGGCGCAAGCACUUUCCAUCCCGGUGCCAGGCCACGAGAUGAUGUAGAGGAGCAGGUAGUUGCCGAAGAUGCCGACGAGGACGACGAGGGCGUAGCAGGGGAUGAUGAGGGGCUUGAAGGACUGGAUGAGCUGCACCCCGGUGAACUGCGCGCUGGCGUUGGGGCGGUUCUGCAGGGCGAGCUCGGAGGCGGUGGCGUUGGCCCCGUCCCUGCUGGGCUCCAUGGCCCCUUCGACCCUAACCAGCUCCCUGGGACGUCCUGGCCCCCCAAAACCUGUCAGUCGCAGGGUUCAGGUGGCCGUGGGGCGCAUCCUGCUCCUCCUCACGGCUGUGCCACCCCGAGGGGUCCUGCCCCACACCAGGCUGGGGACCAGGGGGGGCUCCCCGGGGUGGUGGCUCCUCGCUGCGGCUCCCUGGGAGAUGGGAAACGAGGGUCAGAAAGGAGGCGACGCUGGCAAACGGCCCCCUAGGAGAGGCAGCACGGGGUUGAGCAGCGCCCACGGCUCUGUGGGGAGAAGGAAAAAGGGGGAAAAGCGGCAGGUCAGCCCCGAGGAGGAGGCACUCACCUGCAGCCCGAGCGUCGCGGCGAGCCCCUCCUGCGCCCAGCCGCUGCGCACGGGCAGCUCCUGGCAGCAGCAGCCGAGCCCGAAAGUCGCUCCUGAUGCCUCUGGAAAUCGCAGGGGACGUUAAUGGGGAAAUGGAUACGGAUGCGCUGCCACUUCUGCGCUCAAUGAAGCCUCGUGCGCCCCUAACGAGCUCAGCCGCGCUCUCCUACGAGGUCGGCGCCGGCAGCAGCCCGGCUGGACUCGCCUUUCUGCUGCGAUUCCAGCGGCUCCACCGAGGUGUUCCCACAGCACCCCGCUCUCAUUUCAUCCGCUCUGAAGAAGGGGCAGGGGGCGAGGAGGGAAUCCGAGGCAAAAUCCAGGGCAAAAAAAGCAGAGCGGCGGCGGGCAGAGCCCGGGACGAGCGGGUCCCGGUGCGCCCCAGGCGCAGCCCUGCCUCCCGCACGCGUCCCCUCCCUCCCCUGCUGCCCACUGAAUCAUCCCCGAACGCGCUGCAGGCAAACUUUAAUUUCCCGAGCUAUUUCCAUGCAUUAUCUCCCACUCUGGCAGCGCAGGACUCGUAGCCGCGUUCCUUUCUCUCUGUGCCAGCCGUUGUUUUACGUGCCCAACUUCCCCAGCACAAACCCCGCCGCAGGUUUUGAGUCUCCAGUGGAAACGAGCAGAGAAUUGCAGCCAGCCUCGGAGCUUUGCAGGGCUGCCCAGAAGCUCCUCGCAAGCUCGGCAGCCCGAAUUUGCAUUAAUUCUGGGUUUGGGUCAGCUCCCAUGCGCCCUGCCUGCUUCGCCCCACACCUUGGUAGGGCACCCCACCACGAAGGGAGCAUCUGGAGACAGAACAAAAGGCAGCCCUGAUCCCUGCACCGAUGGCAAUAUCUCACACUGCAGGCUCCUCCAAGGUUUUGGGUCACAAUCUGUUGUUUUCAUCAGUUUUAGAGGAGCUUUUACCUCAAAUGGAGCAGCUUCUGUAUUAAAAUUUCACUCUUACUGUCCCGUUCCCUGCUAGAAGUACUCUCCACCAUUCUCCACAGAAAGUCUUUAAUCCCCCAGCACUCAGAACAUGAGAUCCUGGUUUUGUGUCCCAGGCUGGCGUUAAUUUAAUAAAAAUUAAAUAUCCGU